This 467-nucleotide ribosomal RNA is filed under the name uncultured bacterium. RNAcentral's name for it is "partial 16S ribosomal RNA". It matches the Rfam family "Bacterial small subunit ribosomal RNA", at positions 28 to 507 of the family's 1533-position model. The record is from RNAcentral.
GACGAACGCUGGCGGCGUGCUUAACACAUGCAAGUCGAACGGAAAGGCCCUGCUUUUGUGGGGUGCUCGAGUGGCGAACGGGUGAGUAACACGUGAGUAACCUGCCCUUGACUUUGGGAUAACUUCAGGAAACUGGGGCUAAUACCGGAUAGGAGCUCCUGCUGCAUGGUGGGGGUUGGAAAGUUUCGGCGGUUGGGGAUGGACUCGCGGCUUAUCAGCUUGUUGGUGGGUAGUGGCUUACCAAGGCUUUGACGGGUAGCCGGCCUGAGAGGGUGACCGGCCACAUUGGGACUGAGAUACGGCCCAGACUCCUACGGGAGGCAGCAGUGGGGAAUAUUGCACAAUGGGCGGAAGCCUGAUGCAGCAACGCCGUGUGCGGGAUGACGGCCUUCGGGUUGUAAACCGCUUUCGCCUGUGACGAAGCGUGAGUGACGGUAAUGGGUAAAGAAGCACCGGCUAACUACGUG